AACGAACGCUGGCGGCAGGCCUAACACAUGCAAGUCGAGCGGAUGAGUGGAGCUUGCUCCAUGAUUCAGCGGCGGACGGGUGAGUAAUGCCUAGGAAUCUGCCUGGUAGUGGGGGACAACGUUUCGAAAGGAACGCUAAUACCGCAUACGCCCUGAGGGGGAAAGUGGGGGAUCUUCGGACCUCACGUGAUUGGAGCGGCCGAUGUCAGAUUAGCUAGUUGGUGAGGUAAAGGCUCACCAAGGCGACGAUCUGUAGCGGGUCUGAGAGGAUGAUCCGCCACACUGGGACUGAGACACGGCCCAGACUCCUACGGGAGGCAGCAGUGGGGAAUUUUGGACAAUGGGCGCAAGCCUGAUCCAGCCAUGCCGCGUGAGUGAAGAAGGCCUCG
RNAcentral lists this ribosomal RNA (389 nucleotides) under uncultured bacterium. RNAcentral's name for it is "bacterial SSU rRNA". It matches the Rfam family "Bacterial small subunit ribosomal RNA", at positions 29 to 419 of the family's 1533-position model. The record is from RNAcentral.